RNAcentral lists this ribosomal RNA (301 nucleotides) under uncultured bacterium. RNAcentral's name for it is "partial 16S ribosomal RNA". It matches the Rfam family "Bacterial small subunit ribosomal RNA", at positions 509 to 807 of the family's 1533-position model. The record is from RNAcentral.
CAGUAGCCGCGGUAAUACAGAGGGUGCGAGCGUUAAUCGGAUUUACUGGGCGUAAAGCGUGCGUAGGCGGUGGUUUAAGUCCGUUGUGAAAGCCCUGGGCUCAACCUGGGAAUUGCAGUGGAUACUGGGUCACUAGAGUGUGGUAGAGGAUAGUGGAAUUUCCGGUGUAGCAGUGAAAUGCGUAGAGAUCGGAAGGAACAUCUGUGGCGAAGGCGGCCAUCUGGGACAACACUGACGCUGAGGCACGAAAGCGUGGGGAGCAAACAGGAUUAGAUACCCCAGUAGUCCCUGUCUCUUAUAC